AUGGAACAACUUUGGGAAGCAACAAAUGGAUUUGAUGAAGAGUGUUUGAUUCAAGGGUCUGUGUAUAAAGGAACAAUUGAUGGAGAAGUGUUAGCAAUCAAGAAAAUGAAAUGGAAUGCCCGUGAAGAACUCAAAAUCCUGCAAAAGGUAAAGAAAAAACGUCACGUAAAAUUCAGCAUAUAUACGUAUCCACUAGAGAAUUUUUUUGUAUACUACUAUCCCUCAUCCCAAUUUAUGUGACGUAAAAAUCAUUUCAUUAAGGAUAACAUGAACACUUUAAAGUUAAACUGUUACUGGAUAGAAUAUAUGUCAUUCUUUUCAACUUUUUUUGUUUGUGUAGGUGAACCAUGGGAAUUUGGUGAAGCUAGAAGGUUUUUGCAUAGACCCUAAAGAAGCAAAUUGCUACUUAGUCUAUGAGUAUGUUGAAAAUGGUUCACUACAUUCUUGGCUUCACGGUGAAAAACCUGAAAAAUUGAGUUGGAAAACAAGACUAAGAAUUGCAACUGAUGUUGCAAAUGGUCUUUUAUACAUUCAUGAACAUACAAGGCCAAGAGUUGUCCACAAAGACAUCAAAAGUAGCAACAUUCUCCUAGACUCCAACAUGAGAGCCAAAGUUGCCAAUUUUGGUCUAGCUAAAUCAGGGUGCAAUGCUAUAACAAUGCACAUUGUAGGUACUCAGGGGUACAUCGCCCCCGAGUACCUAACCGAUGGGAUUGUAUCCACUAAGAUGGAUGUUUUCUCAUUCGGAGUUGUGUUGCUCGAGCUUGUGUCAGGGAAGGAGGCUAUCAACGAUGAAGGGAAAGUCUUGUGGGCAAAAGUUAGUGAUUUUUCAGAAGGGAGUGAAGAAAGGAAGGUGAGUAAAUUGCAAGAAUGGAUGGAUGAAAGUCUUUUGAGGGAAGAAUUAACUAUCGAAAGUGUUGUGAAUGUGAUGUCUGUGGCUAUUUCAUGUUUGAAUAAAGAUCCUUCAAGAAGGCCAGGCAUGAUUGAAAUUGUGUAUGCGUUGUCUAAAAGUAUUGAUCUAUUUUCUGAUGUUUCAGAGGAGGGACUAUCUCCAAGGCAAGUCACAGCAAGAUAGACUACAUAAUAGUACAAGCAUAUUAUGUAAAGUUGUUUUGAAGUGGAGUAGCAUUUUGUGUUUUGAGGUUUUUACUUUCCUUAAAAGUUUUUCUUCUAUAUAUGUGUAAUAUUACUCCUAUAUUAUCUUCUAUAGUAGUAGUGGUAAAUCUAAUUCAGAAUAAAAGCAUGUUUAAGGUUGUUCUAGUGUAAUUCUUUACAAUUACAUGUAUUAGUUAUGCAGUUAUCUAAAUUGCAAAUCAAACACCAUAUUGAUUUUAUAAUGAAUAAUUUACCUCCUAAAUCAGCUAACAAACAUGAUAUUACUUAUUAAGAACCCGAUACUUGCAUAACUCAACUCCAAACCAACUGCCAACCGACCUUGAAUGAAAAGUAUUUUCCCUAAUUCUUGCAAUAGUUAAAUGUACCUUGGAAAAAGAUGUAUCUCAGAAAUAGCUAGUCCAAACAUGUGAAAACAUCCUGGAGAAAAACAACAAAUAUAAACACGAGUAUUUUCUACAAUAUGGUUGACCAAAAACCCUUCUAGGUGGGACCAACAAAUUGGAAAAAAAAAACCAUCUUCCUUUAAUGUUAAAGACAAUACCAUAUGAGAAAAUAAAUAACAACAACCAAUCAAAUAAUGCAGAAAAUCCCCAUCACUCAUUAAAUGGUCGAAAACCAAGACUAUGACAAAAAAAACAAGAACUUUGGUAUAUAAACCUCUUAUAACAACAUCAUAUUAUAUACACACACAUCUCUCCUUCAACAAAACACAAAACCAAGAAAAUGAUAACAAAACCAAUAUUUAUUUUUUCACUUCUCUUCUUCUUAUCAUUCAUAUUGAACCAAAACAUAAUAUGUUAUGCACAAGAGCCACCAAGCAUAACAGGAUAUACUUGUAAUCCUGAGCAAUUCAAUCCAUGUCAAACUUAUGUGUUAUACAGAGCUAGAGCACCAGAGUUUCUUGAUUUAGCCUCAAUUGGUGAUCUAUUUUCAGUAAGUAGACUAAUGAUAGCAAACCCUAGUAAUAUUUCCAACCCAAACACAACUCUUGUUAAUGAUCAACCCCUUUUUAUCCCCAUCACGUGUUCUUGUAACAACAUCAACACAACUUUUGGUAGCAUAUCUUAUGCUGGCUUUAACUACAGUUUCAAAUCAGGUGACACUAUGUAUGGUGUAUCAACAUCUAAAUUCCAAAACCUUACUACUUAUCAAUCUGUUGAGGCUGUUAAUCCAACUGUUGUACCAGAAAACAUUGACAUAGGUCAAGCUAUAAAAUUCCCAAUUUUUUGCAAAUGUCCAAACACAACAUCUUCACAAAAUCAACCAAGACUACUCAUAACUUAUGUUUUUCAACCUAAUGAUAACAUUUCUUCUAUUGCCUCAAGAUUCAGAGUAACCCCACAAUCUAUAACACAAAUUAAUGGAAAUAACACCAAGAUUCUUGAUACCCUUUUCAUCCCUCUUUCUAAUCUACCUAAUCUUACACAGCCAACAUCAUCAAAC
Molecule: long non-coding RNA, 2559 nt
Filed under: Solanum lycopersicum (tomato)
Lineage: Eukaryota; Viridiplantae; Streptophyta; Magnoliopsida; Solanales; Solanaceae
Description: long non-coding RNA (SLYC_LNC000710)
Source: RNAcentral